AUCUGUUACACAUGCAGCCACAGUAUUCCUGGAAAGCUGUCAUCUGGCCUCUUUACCUCCAGUCCUCAUAGCAGCCCUCAGUCAGGGAAGGGAGGGCUCGUGAGAACAGGCAUGGGCUUGCAUGGAAUACAGCCAAGGGAGCGGCUUUUCUGUCACAAAUAUAUAUUUCAGAAGUGAAUGAGGACAGACAGACAGACAGAUACAUAGAUACAUAGAGAUAGAGCUGUAUCCUACCAAUCAUGACACAAGAACCUCUACAAGGAAUCUUCCUCAAGAUUGCACUGGGUGGACAUCUAACUCUUACACUAAAAUCAAAAGAAUGCCCCA
Molecule: long non-coding RNA, 327 nt
Filed under: Fukomys damarensis (Damara mole-rat)
Lineage: Eukaryota; Metazoa; Chordata; Mammalia; Rodentia; Bathyergidae
Description: lncRNA (ENSFDAG00000030457.1)
Source: RNAcentral